RNAcentral lists this ribosomal RNA (245 nucleotides) under uncultured Methylopila sp. Its description in RNAcentral is "partial 16S ribosomal RNA". It matches the Rfam family "Bacterial small subunit ribosomal RNA", at positions 524 to 768 of the family's 1533-position model. The record is from RNAcentral. Lineage: Bacteria; Pseudomonadati; Pseudomonadota; Alphaproteobacteria; Hyphomicrobiales; Methylopilaceae.
UACGAAGGGGGCUAGCGUUGUUCGGAAUCACUGGGCGUAAAGCGCACGUAGGCGGAUUUUUAAGUCAGGGGUGAAAUGCCAGGGCUCAACCUUGGAACUGCCUUUGAUACUGGGGAUCUGGAGUCCGGGAGAGGUGAGUGGAACUGCGAGUGUAGAGGUGAAAUUCGUAGAUAUUCGCAAGAACACCAGUGGCGAAGGCGGCGCUCUGGCCCGAUACUGACGCUGAGGCGCGAAAGCGUGGGGAG